GAGCACGUAGGUGGGUUUGUAAGUCAGAUGUGAAAGCCUUCUGUUCAACGGAAGAAUUGCAUCUGAAACUGCGAGUCUUGAGUGCAGGAGGGGAGAAUGGAACUUCUGGUGAGCGGUGAAAUGCGUAGAUAUCAGAAGGAACGCCGGCGGCGAAAGCGAUUCUCUGGCCUAUUACUGACACUCAGUGUGCGAAAGCUAGGGGAGCAAACGGGAUUAGAUACCCCGGUAGUCCUAGCCGUAAACGAUGGGCACUAAGUAGAGGGG
RNAcentral lists this ribosomal RNA (264 nucleotides) under uncultured bacterium. RNAcentral describes it as "partial 16S ribosomal RNA". It matches the Rfam family "Bacterial small subunit ribosomal RNA", at positions 565 to 828 of the family's 1533-position model. The record is from RNAcentral.